ACCGGAUUAGCUCAGUUUGGUAGAGCGCCUGGUUUGGGACCAGGAGGCCGUGAGUUCGAUUCUCGUAUCCGGUA
This 74-nucleotide transfer RNA is filed under the name Blautia sp. BCRC 81119. Its description in RNAcentral is "tRNA-Pro". It matches the Rfam family "tRNA". Rfam says of the family: Transfer RNA (tRNA) molecules are approximately 80 nucleotides in length. Their secondary structure includes four short double-helical elements and three loops (D, anti-codon, and T loops). Lineage: Bacteria; Bacillati; Bacillota; Clostridia; Lachnospirales; Lachnospiraceae. RNAcentral also lists the same sequence under 2 other names. The record is from RNAcentral.